This is a long non-coding RNA of Xenopus laevis (African clawed frog), 572 nucleotides long. RefSeq lists it as uncharacterized. The transcript has 3 exons. The record is from RefSeq and is a predicted model, not a curated record. NCBI's taxonomy places the organism in Eukaryota, Metazoa, Chordata, Amphibia, Anura, Pipidae.
UUCAUCUGAUUCAUUAAGAAUUCUAUCACUUCAUUAUACAUUUUACAAAGGGACUAAGUUUUAGCUGCAACUUACUUCCUGUAUUAUAUGCAGUAUCUAUUAGUGAUAAAUCAAAUUUAGCUGGACUUGCUGAGUAAUCUUCAAAAUGUUUCAGCGGCCAAUGAGAUACUUCUUUUUUUUUAUACUAGUCAUUAGGGAAUUAGUUUCAAACAAUUAACACCUGCCUCAAUGAGUUUGAGGGUACCAUUGUGUCUGAAUCUCACUUUCACUUCUCAAGAUCUGCCUAGAAGUGUUAAAUAGAACCAGUGUGGGUGAAUUUUAAAUCAAGGGGAAUUUCAGUGGAACACCAGUAGCUGCUUGGCUGAACUUUUUCAAGAUUACUCAGUAUACACACCUCAUUCCUGUGACAGUUGACCUGACAUGAACAGUAUCCAUGGGCAAAAGAGGGAAUAUUAAUGCAAAUACAAAGUAAAACCUACAAGCAACAUCAGGUUUAAACUCAUCUCCUACUUCAUCAUGAUCACUGUCAUCUGCCAAAAGCUUGCGCUGCUCGAAGAUGGCUUUGGACGCAG